GCCAGGCGCGGUGGCUCACGCCUGUAAUCCUAGCACUUUGGGAGGCUGAGGUGGGAGGAUCACCUGAGGUCAGGAGUUCAAGACCUGCCUGGCCAACAUGGUGAAACCCCGUCUCUA
This 117-nucleotide non-coding RNA is filed under the name Gorilla gorilla gorilla (western lowland gorilla). The record is from Rfam by way of RNAcentral. Lineage: Eukaryota; Metazoa; Chordata; Mammalia; Primates; Hominidae.